Molecule: ribosomal RNA, 982 nt
Filed under: Vibrio sp.
Lineage: Bacteria; Pseudomonadati; Pseudomonadota; Gammaproteobacteria; Vibrionales; Vibrionaceae
Description: bacterial SSU rRNA
Rfam family: Bacterial small subunit ribosomal RNA
Source: RNAcentral
GACCUUCGGGCCUCUCGCGUCAGGAUAUGCCUAGGUGGGAUUAGCUAGUUGGUGAGGUAAUGGCUCACCAAGGCGACGAUCCCUAGCUGGUCUGAGAGGAUGAUCAGCCACACUGGAACUGAGACACGGUCCAGACUCCUACGGGAGGCAGCAGUGGGGAAUAUUGCACAAUGGGCGCAAGCCUGAUGCAGCCAUGCCGCGUGUGUGAAGAAGGCCUUCGGGUUGUAAAGCACUUUCAGUCGUGAGGAAGGUGGUGUAGUUAAUAGCUGCAUUAUUUGACGUUAGCGACAGAAGAAGCACCGGCUAACUCCGUGCCAGCAGCCGCGGUAAUACGGAGGGUGCGAGCGUUAAUCGGAAUUACUGGGCGUAAAGCGCAUGCAGGUGGUUUGUUAAGUCAGAUGUGAAAGCCCGGGGCUCAACCUCGGAAUAGCAUUUGAAACUGGCAGACUAGAGUACUGUAGAGGGGGGUAGAAUUUCAGGUGUAGCGGUGAAAUGCGUAGAGAUCUGAAGGAAUACCGGUGGCGAAGGCGGCCCCCUGGACAGAUACUGACACUCAGAUGCGAAAGCGUGGGGAGCAAACAGGAUUAGAUACCCUGGUAGUCCACGCCGUAAACGAUGUCUACUUGGAGGUUGUGGCCUUGAGCCGUGGCUUUCGGAGCUAACGCGUUAAGUAGACCGCCUGGGGAGUACGGUCGCAAGAUUAAAACUCAAAUGAAUUGACGGGGGCCCGCACAAGCGGUGGAGCAUGUGGUUUAAUUCGAUGCAACGCGAAGAACCUUACCUACUCUUGACAUCCAGAGAACUUUUCAGAGAUGGAUUGGUGCCUUCGGGAACUCUGAGACAGGUGCUGCAUGGCUGUCGUCAGCUCGUGUUGUGAAAUGUUGGGUUAAGUCCCGCAACGAGCGCAACCCUUAUCCUUGUUUGCCAGCGAGUAAUGUCGGGAACUCCAGGGAGACUGCCGGUGAUAAACCGGAGGAAGGUG